UAGGGAAUAUUAGUUAAUGUGCGAAAGCGCGAACUAGCAACGCCGCGUGUGCGAUGAAGGUCUUCGGAUCGUAGAGCACUUUUCGAGAAGAUGAGGAAGGACAGUACUCUCGGAAUAAGUCUCGGCUAACUACGUGCCAGCAGCCGCGGUAAAACGUAGGAGGCAAGCGUUAUCCGGAUUUACUGGGCGUAAAGCGCGUGCAGGCGGUUUGGUAAGUUGGAUGUGAAAGCUCCCGGCUCAACUGGGAGAGGUCGUUCAAAACUACCAGACUUGAGGGCGGUAGAGGGAAGUGGAAUUGCGUGUGUAGUGGUGAAAUGCGUAGAUAUACGGAGGAACACCAGUGGCGAAGGCGGCUUCCUGGACCGA
Molecule: ribosomal RNA, 366 nt
Filed under: uncultured bacterium
Lineage: Bacteria
Description: bacterial SSU rRNA
Rfam family: Bacterial small subunit ribosomal RNA
Source: RNAcentral